ACGGGGCCCGCACAAGCGGUGGAGCAUGUGGUUUAAUCGAAGCAACGCGAAGAACCUUACCAGGUCUUGACAUCCCGAUGCUAUUUCUAGAGAUAGAAAGUUACUUCGGUACAUCGGUGACAGGUGGUGCAUGGUUGUCGUCAGCUCGUGUCGUGAGAUGUUGGGUUAAGUCCCGCAACGAGCGCAACCCCUAUUGUUAGUUGCCAUCAUUCAGUUGGGCACUCUAGCGAGACUGCCGGUAAUAAACCGGAGGAAGGUGGGGAUGACGUCAAAUCAUCAUGCCCCUUAUGACCUGGGCUACACACGUGCUACAAUGGUUGGUACAACGAGUUGCGAGUCGGUGACGGCGAGCUAAUCUCUUAAAGCCAAUCUCAGUUCGGAUUGUAGGCUGCAACUCGCCUACAUGAAGUCGGAAUCGCUAGUAAUCGCGGAUCAGCACGCCGCGGUCGAAUACGUUCCGGGCCUU
This 466-nucleotide ribosomal RNA is filed under the name uncultured Streptococcus sp. RNAcentral's name for it is "bacterial SSU rRNA". It matches the Rfam family "Bacterial small subunit ribosomal RNA", at positions 916 to 1381 of the family's 1533-position model. The record is from RNAcentral. Lineage: Bacteria; Bacillati; Bacillota; Bacilli; Lactobacillales; Streptococcaceae.